GGGCUCACUUCAACAGCAUAUAUAUGAAAAGUAGAAUGAUACAGAGAUCAGCAGGGCCCCUGCCCAAGGAUGACAUGAAAAUUCCUGGAAUGUUCCAUUCAAAA
RNAcentral lists this small nuclear RNA (104 nucleotides) under Spermophilus dauricus (Daurian ground squirrel). Lineage: Eukaryota; Metazoa; Chordata; Mammalia; Rodentia; Sciuridae. The record is from RNAcentral.